Molecule: transfer RNA, 85 nt
Filed under: Felis catus (domestic cat)
Lineage: Eukaryota; Metazoa; Chordata; Mammalia; Carnivora; Felidae
Also listed under: 2 other names
Rfam family: tRNA
About the family: Transfer RNA (tRNA) molecules are approximately 80 nucleotides in length. Their secondary structure includes four short double-helical elements and three loops (D, anti-codon, and T loops). Further hydrogen bonds mediate the characteristic L-shaped molecular structure. tRNAs have two regions of fundamental functional importance: the anti-codon, which is responsible for specific mRNA codon recognition, and the 3' end, to which the tRNAs corresponding amino acid is attached (by aminoacyl-tRNA synthetases). tRNAs cope with the degeneracy of the genetic code in two manners: having more than one tRNA (with a specific anti-codon) for a particular amino acid; and 'wobble' base-pairing, i.e. permitting non-standard base-pairing at the 3rd anti-codon position.
Source: Rfam by way of RNAcentral
GCCUGGGUGGCUCAGUUGGUUGAGCAACUGACUUCGGCUCAGGUCAUGAUCUCACAGUUUGUGAGUUCGAGCCCCGCGUCGGGCU